This 370-nucleotide ribosomal RNA is filed under the name uncultured bacterium. RNAcentral's name for it is "bacterial SSU rRNA". It matches the Rfam family "Bacterial small subunit ribosomal RNA", at positions 917 to 1289 of the family's 1533-position model. The record is from RNAcentral.
GGGCCCGCACAAGCGGUGGAGCAUGUGGUUUAAUUCGAUGAUACGCGAGGAACCUUACCAGGGCUUAAAUGUAGUAUGACCGGUCUGGAAACAGACCUUCUCUUCGGAGCAGAUUACAAGGUGCUGCAUGGUUGUCGUCAGCUCGUGCCGUGAGGUGUUAGGUUAAGUCCUGCAACGAGCGCAACCCCUAUUCUUAGUUGCCAGCGGUUCGGCCGGGGACUCUAAGAAGACUGCCAGCGCAAGCUGAGAGGAAGUGGGGAUGACGUCAAAUCAUCACGGCCCUUACGUCCUGGGGCUACACACGUGCUACAAUGGUAUAGACAGAGGGCAGCCACCUGGCGACAGGGAGCGAAUCCUUAAACUAUAUCUC